AACGAACGCUGGCGGCAGGCCUAACACAUGCAAGUCGAGCGCCCUUUCGGGGGUGCGGCGGACGGGUGAGUAACGCGUGGGAAUAUGCCCUUCUCUACGGACUAGCCUCGGCAAACUGAGAGUAAUACCGUACACGCCCUGAUGGGGAAGGAUUUAUCGGGGAAGGUUUAGCCCGCGUUGGAUUAGGUAGUUGGUGGGGUAAUGGCCGACCAAGCCGACGAUCCAUAGCUGGAUUGGGAGGGUGAACAGCCACACUGGGACUGGGACACGGCCCAGACGGCUGCGAGAAGCAGCAGUGGGUGAACUUAGGCAGGGAGGGCAACCCUGAAACGCCGAUGCCGGGAGGGUGAUGAAGGGCUUGGAGUUGUAAAGCGCUUGUGGCGGAGAGGGUAAUGACGGUACCAGCAGAAGAAGCCCCGGCUAACUCCGU
RNAcentral lists this ribosomal RNA (430 nucleotides) under uncultured bacterium. Its description in RNAcentral is "partial 16S ribosomal RNA". It matches the Rfam family "Bacterial small subunit ribosomal RNA", at positions 29 to 506 of the family's 1533-position model. The record is from RNAcentral.